AUGAAGGGGCGGUUGGGAGCUCUGAGAGGUUCUACGGCUGCUAGUGCAGAUAGUCCUACUACACCCAAUAAUCCCAUUGUGGAAUUGAUAGAUAGCGAUGAUGAUGUGUUUGACAAGAUUGCUGGUGUUGGAAGAGUCACGAGGAGCGCUGCUGCCAAAGGUUUAUCUCCCCUUGCUGGAAUAAUGGCUCUUAGAGCUGGUGGUGCUAGGAAAGAUCCCGCUUUGGAUUCUAGCAAUGUUGUAAGCACGAAGCGUGCGCCCAGAGCUCCUAUAAAGUUUUGCUCCCCUGUGCAGCAACUUCACCCUUAUAAAUUCCCUCAUCUGGACAAGGCUUGCAGGUUGUAUAAUCUAUUGCUUAGUGAUGAAUGGCGUGAGAAGUAUGCCGAGAAUACAUUCUCAAUGAUACCUCAGCCUGAUGAUAACGUAACUAGCUUCACUGGGAAACGCAUCUGGGAACUUUUGGCACCUGGGAAAAUGAUGGAGGGUGAUGUUGUGCUUGACUAUUCGUUUUACGAGGAUGAAAAUAAAGUGUUUAAUGUGGAGAGUGCAACGAGAGAUUUCAAGAGCUAUGUUAAAGCUAAUGAAGACUUGCUCAGUGCCGACCUUAUCAUGAUGCCUCUAUUCAAGCCUAUGGUUUUAUCAAAGGAUAGGAAAGUAAACCACUAUUCCUUAUGUGUCAUCAAUCGGUACCGAAGUAGCGUUGACAUCCUUGACUCUUUACCUUAUCCGAAGAACCACCGUCCUUCGAAGAACACCUAUCACAAAGACUGCGAGAAGAUUAUUUCUAGAUUGGUCAAAGUAAUGAAGGCUGUGUAUGGUGAUGCUCAGUACAAUGCGAGCAAGCAGCCCAAUUGGGAGUUGUUUGCAAAGAAACCAACGUUUGUAAAGGUUCCACUUCAAGGGAAAAAUGAAUGUGGCCAUUAUACUUUGAAGUAUGCGGGAUGCUAUGAUGGUGAAAAGAUCGUUGAGAACAUUCGAGAUAAUGACAUGGCCACGCAUUGUUGA
RNAcentral lists this ribosomal RNA (1005 nucleotides) under Triticum aestivum (bread wheat). RNAcentral's name for it is "partial small subunit ribosomal RNA". The record is from RNAcentral. Lineage: Eukaryota; Viridiplantae; Streptophyta; Magnoliopsida; Poales; Poaceae.